AUUUACAAAGUGAGAGAUUAUUUGAGCUGCAAGGUGCUUAAAAGGAUACCGAGUGAAAUGCUUCAUUUUUAGAACUGAAAUGUUUGUCAAAGGAAGCCAGAAGAAUAGAUGAGAAACAAGGUCGGGGGCGGAAACAGGUAGGAACAAGACUUAUUUUUGUGUCAUUUUGAUUUGUGAACCAUACGAUGUUUAGCUAUUUGAAAUAAGCUGAAAGUCUUGUGGUAGUGGCGUUAUCCAUU
This 239-nucleotide long non-coding RNA is filed under the name Felis catus (domestic cat). RNAcentral describes it as "lncRNA (ENSFCAG00000053016.1)". Lineage: Eukaryota; Metazoa; Chordata; Mammalia; Carnivora; Felidae. The record is from RNAcentral.